GUCCUACCUGUCUGGUUUUUAUGAGGCUGAGAUCACACUGAUUCUGUGUAUUACAAAAUAUUUUAAUGCAUUUUUAGGAUAAAUAGCAUACAUAAAGUACACAAUUUAAAAAGGCACAAAAAAACGGCAGGCAGGGAAAAAUCAAUUUCUCCCCUGACUCUCACCACCCAGUGUUCUCCCAUCCAGAUCUCCUUCCAGAGCGGUCCAGGGCUCCCCCUUAUCCAUGUUUUGAGUGAGUUAAUAGCCUUUGACCCUUCAAGAUUCUCAGGAAUGAAAAAUUGUCUGUAAGGUCAAAUCAUGUCUCUAAUAUAAUGUACUAUACUGAUAAAAGAUAAAAUUAUACCACCUCGAUGCCAGUCACAGAACCAGAACUAUAUCCUGCAACUCUUCUUAAAGAACAUUCUGAACUGACAAAGGCAGCCGAAGGUACUCAACAGUGAUAGCAUCCUUUAACAGAUCUCUGUGCCAGAGAUUUCCCUGAGGGGUUCCCAGGGAUGCCACCAUGGUUCCCAAAGCUCAGACCUUGAAGUCAGAGUCUGUGUGAAUCUGGAUUGCAGUGACUGUGACAUUAACCUCAGGCCCACGUCCCUGGAGGCAGGCCCCUUCUUCCCCCAAAGCUCAGAGCUGGCAAGGAUAUCCUCACCUUGUUCUGCCCUCGGGUAUCUGCUGGGCUAGGAGGUGUGGGGAGAGUGGGUGGAGUAAUUCCAGCUCCAAUGGAGCAGUUUCUAAAAAGUCAUUUCCAUAAAAUAUAGCUUCAAAGAGAGAAAGCCAUUCUGCACUUACCCAGACUAUGUCUUCUUCAAACUCACCUCCCGACACUACAUGUUAAGAAGUGGAAGAGUGGCCCAGGGUUUCCCUGGAGAUCUGGUGCCAUGCACUGUUCCAUGGGCUUACAUGAUCACAAAUCUGCCCCCUCUGAGUGUGCACCAGACAGCACCUUACUGCGGAUUUUCUCCCUGGCAGGAUGUUUCAAGGGUUUUUCAGGAAUGGGCUGCAAUUUGGAAGUUUAUGUGCCAGUGCAGUGAAUUUCUCUCUCUGCUCUCUCUCCUUGCCUCCCAGGAUCCAUCUGAUAAAGUUGCAGAGGCAUCUUGGAUUUACAACACCCCCUGCCAGCCCCUCACUGAACCACACAUCAUCUGCAGCAGGAGGCGUUGGAUUACAUUUGGCUGGAGCGCCCGCAUCAACUCCAGUUGUCCCUGAAUUGGAACUGAUGGGCCUCACGUGCCACAGCCAACAGUUUGUCUUCACCCACUCCCCUCUCUGGAAUGAACCUUUCUCUGGGAAAACAAGAAACCUACGUGCCAUCCUGGGUGAGAGACAAACAGGAGCUGCAUCCCAGGAUCGCAUCCCCAGUAUGAUGGGUUCCCCACAGCAAGCCACACUUCAAGCAUCUCUGGAAAGACCUUCUGAACCACAGGACACAAAUGCUCCCUCUGGAGGACCGGAGCCUCUGUGUUCCUCUCAGCUCACAGGCAUCCAUUCUUCCUGCAUUCAGGCUCCUUGA
RNAcentral lists this long non-coding RNA (1504 nucleotides) under Sus scrofa (pig). Its description in RNAcentral is "lncRNA (ENSSSCG00045001327.1)". The record is from RNAcentral. Lineage: Eukaryota; Metazoa; Chordata; Mammalia; Artiodactyla; Suidae.